RNAcentral lists this long non-coding RNA (32128 nucleotides) under Populus tremula. RNAcentral describes it as "long non-coding RNA (PTRE_LNC000269)". The stretch from base 23114 to 23268 matches the Rfam family "MIR2912 microRNA precursor family". Lineage: Eukaryota; Viridiplantae; Streptophyta; Magnoliopsida; Malpighiales; Salicaceae. The record is from RNAcentral.
GUUUGUCACCACCAUCGAUCUAUAGAAUGUCUCAGGAUAGAUGGAUUUAAAAUAUGAAUCAACCUGUUCCUUUCUAGUUUGGCCCUCAGGGACAUGAGGUAUGUCUCUGACAAGAACAGCGAAUUGCUCUGGUUUCACUUCAGGAGACAUUAGAGCAUUUGCUCUCAUCCCAGAAACAUGCACGUACGCCUUCCAUAAAAAGAAAUAGGUAACAAGAGAAACCCAAUAGGUAGCAAUCAAGAAUGCCCACAGCCUUGGACUCCCCCCCUGCAGACAUAUUUUUCCAUGGAGCAAAACGAAAACGGGAGCAAGUCAGUUCAAGCAAACAAAACAAAGAAAGAGGAGUUGUGGAGGUACCUUGACAUUUCCCAUUAAUAACUUGUCAAUUUCAUUAAAACUUGUGGAGGAGUUUCCUUUAACUUUUUGUAUUUCCACAUUGUCGUCGGUGGCAGCAACAGGCAGAAGUACCGGCAGCAGAACAAGGCCAGACAAAACCAAUAUUGCCAGCGCUGUCAUAUAGAACAAAAAAAAGAGUAAAAAUAAACAACGUGAGGAGAGCAGUUGUCUGAGAAAUAAUACAUGGAAUGGAAGUUAGGGUUGUCCGAAAUCAUGAAGAAAUGUACACAGAUGGAUUUGCUUAAUCCUAUGAUGUAAGGUGCUUGUCAGUAGUUCAAGCACGACUAAUAAGAGUAGUCAUUGUCAAACCCAAUUAUUUUAGAUUUAUACUUUUUUUAGUUGCAUACCACCAUGUAAACAAACUUUGUUCUGAGCAAACUAAAGUAAAUGAAAAAGGAAAUCGGAAAACAGAGAAAAAUGAAAAGGUUACGGUAUCAAGUUUUGGAAGGCAAACAUCCCUUCGCCUCGAGAAAUUAAUUUAAGGGGAAGAAAGAACAGAACUACCACCAAAAAGGGACACAAUUAAAGACUCAAAGCAAGAAAGAAACCCGUAAAAGGUAUGAUUCUAACAACCUGAUAAAUUAGUCACAGCAUUACAAUCGAAGCGAUUCUUUGUAUUAGUUUUUUACAAGAGAGAGAGAGACUCGGAGAAAGAGAGUUUAAUUAAUCAAAUACCAGUGCUCAAGAAGACAAAGUAGACAGCAGCGUCUACACCGGACAUGUUUAUAACGUCCUGCUCGCUGGAAGAGAGGGCUUCCCGGAUCCAAGCAUAAGGGUUGCGGGAUCUUGACCCGCCCUCCCAGGGAUCCAGACCUUUCAAGAUCCGGUUGGGGUAAUACACGAAGGAGUUUCCAGGCUUCCUCGACAGCCAUGUAAACAGAAGCAUUAACACCACGAAAACAAAAAACGACGUCCCUAAAGACGUCAAGAAAGAUGUGAAAUCCAUCACUCGCUCAGAACAGAAUUAUUGUGAAAUGGGAAUUAUAAGGGCAAGGAAAGGAAAAGUAGCAGUGAAGAUGAGGGCAAUGAAAGCAGGUCACCGUUGAGGGAGGAAAUGGGGAAUGUAUUUAUGCUAGAGCAUUGAUUGGUGUGUGGUUCAAAUGCAAAAGAUGAGAGAAUACAAAAUGUCUGCCACAAGAAGAAGGCUUUCGAGCUGUUUGGUUCUGUGGGGUUUCGCGCUUUUGUUCAUGUUUAUUCGUCAUCAUCGUCGCAGUGCUUUCAUUUUCAGAGUCCUCGUAAGUAAAAUGAGUGUCUGUGUGUGAAAAGAAAGCGGGGACGGCAUCAACCGAGCGCGUUUCGAGUUUAAAUAAGCAAUUGAUUGUAAAAAAUAAUUGUGAAUCAUAAAAAUUAAAAAUAAAACAUUUAAGUAUGAAUUUUUAGUUAUAAUAGAAAUUACCUAUGAAAGAAAAACAAGUAAAUAAAAGUAAAUAAUUGGUGUAUAUUAGUAAUAUGAUGUUACCUAAAGGUUAGUCAAUGAAUCUAAAUGAAUUCUAUCAACUUUAAUAUUAAAUUACAUCAAAAAUUAGAAUAAUUACUUUGAAUUAUCAAAGAAAUAUGGAUUAAGGAAAAGAUUGUAAAUUUAAUAAUAAUAAAAAAUUAGCCCCUGCUUUAUACUUAAAAGGUUUUCGGCCAAUGGAUGGAAGAAAGUAGAAGCUUUCUUCUUCUCUUUUUAUUGCUUUUUAUUUCUCAUUGCUUAUGAAAAACUAGGUUUUAGGGUUUGAUACAUGGGACUAUGAGAGCUUAAACACUUGUAAAUACAAGAGAAUGAAGUGAGAGAAAAGUAGGGUUUAAAAAGAGAAAGUAAGGAAAUUACAGCAUUUUUAAAAAUGCCCUGUCCACGUCAACGUGAUCUUUUUAGAUAAUGUUUUCUGCAUCCUAGCUCUCAGCUUCAUAAUUUUCAACUAUGUUGACGUGUGUUUGUCUCCACUAUUUUGAUGCUUGAUGUGAUAGAAAUAAAAAUAAAUUAAGAAGUCAAAAAAUAUUAUUUUUAAUAUAUUUUUAAAUAAAAAAAUAUUUUUAAAAAUAAUCAUCAAUAUAAUAUUAAACAUAAACUAGAGGUGAUUAUUUUUUAUUCGGUUUAGUUUUUAUAUAAAAAAUAACCAAACCAAAGUUUUUUUAAAAAAAAUCAAAACCGGUUCAAACAGACUGGUUUCAGUUCCGUUUAGUUUUUUAAACAAAAAUUGGUUCAAAUCGAUUUCACUCGGUUUUUUUCGGUUUUGCCUCGGUUAUUUCCGGUUUGGCUUGAUUUUUUGGUUUUGCUCGGGUUUUUUCCGGUUUGGGUUCGGUUCGGUUUGGUUUUUUCGAUUUCAGACUUAUAAAACCAAAAUCAAACCGAACCGAAAAAAAACCGAGCCAUGAAUAAAAUAAUAAAUACUUUAGAUAUGAGGGGAAAAAUACAGUAACUAAACCAUGAAAAUGACCAACAUCAACAUAGUCUAUAUAUAUACCAGAUGCCAUGUCCGCGUGAUGUUGCGAGCUUAUAGCAUGCUUGUGCGUUGUUGUGCAUUUGUGAAAAAAAUCAUAAAAAAAUUUAAAAAACUAUAUGGAGAAAAAUUGUUGCAAUCCAUAAUAUUUUGAAGAAAAAAACUACAAAGUUAAAUUCUCAACUAACUUACUUUUUAAAAAAUAAAAUCGACAAAGAUAAUUCAGAAAAAAAUCAUAACAAAAAAAAACAAUGUAGGGAAACAUUAUAGCAAUCUGUAAUGUUUCAUGAGGAAAUCUAUAGUUUUAAUUCUUAACCAGCUCAAUAUUAAAAAAAAUAAAAUCGAUAAAGAUAAUUUAAAAAAAAUCUUAACAAAAAAAUCAUAUGAAGGAACACUGUAGCAAUCAACAGUGUUUUAAAAAAAAAAACUAAGAUGCUAAAUUCUCAACUAGCUUAAUAUGAAAAAAAAUAAAAUCAACAAAAGACAAUUAUGGAAAAAAAUCAUAAAAAAAGAAAAAAAAACCAUGUGUGAAAACACCGUAGUAAUCCAUAAUGUUUUAAAGAAAAAAACUAUAAAGCUAAAUUCUCAACUAGCUCAAUAUUAAAAAAAAAUCGACAAAGAUAAUUUUUUAAAAAAAAAACAUGCGGGAACACACUAUAGCAAAACAAAAACCAUGUCGGGAAAUAUUUUAGCAAUCCACAAUGGUUUUUUAAAAAAAUACAACACAAAAUUCUUAACUAGCUCAAUAUAUAAAAAAACUACCAAAUAUCAUUUUGAAAAAAAAAACAAAGAAAAAAAAUUCAUAAAAAGAAAAAAAAAUCAUGUGGUGAAACAUUAUAGCAAUCUAUAAUAUUUUAAAGAAAAAAACUUCAAAACUAAAUCCUCAAUCAAUUCAAUAUUAAAAAAAAAUCAAUAAAAUAACUUUGAAAAAAACACAAAAACAAAAAGAAUAAUAAUAAAAAAUGACCAUCUUUGGAAAAAAAGAAAAGAAAAAAAACAUUUAAAUCCCAAAAAAAAAAGGGAAAAAAUGAAAAAAAAUGGGGAAAUGCAUACAUACAUACAUACAUACAUACAUACAUAUAUAUAUAUAUAUAUAGUUUUUUAGAGUCAAAUAAUUCUAAAAGGUAAAAUCUUUGUCUUACAACCUCCUUUCCUAACUGAUUUAAAAAAAAAAAAAAAAGUCGAAGAGUUUUAUACUUUUGUUUUUGGAUCAUUAAAUGAACAUAAUUGUUGGAAUCACGCGAACUUAAUUAAAAAGGAAAGGGCAAGCAGAAAAUUUAUUUCUUUUAAAAUUCAAUCAAUCAUAAUUUUUUUAAAUAGUAAUUAUGACUUAGUAAUCCAAAGCUUGCUAGGUUAGAUCUCUUUUCAAAAUCAUACAAUUAUGGUAAAACUAGACACAUAUCCUCGCGUAGUGAAGUAUACAAUUUCAAUUAUUCAUAUAAAAUUAACUAUUUAGUAUUUGAUUAUAUUGUCAUAAUCUUGUGGUAUGUUAUCCCUUGUAUUGUUAUUAUUCUAUUUAAUAGUAAUAAAUCUUGUACCUAUACAAAAAUAUUUAACUAAUAUUUUUUAUAACAAAAUAUAAUUAUUUUUUAAAAUAUUUCUCAUUUUGUUAAAAUAAUAAUUUUUUUAAAAAUAUAUUUUUAACACUAAACACCAAAACAAUUCAAAAACGACCACAAAAAGUUAAAAUUUAAAGAAAUUUAAAACUACGUUACAAACUGAAACUUGGUUAAUAAUGCAUCUGCACAUGAUACAAUAACUAAACCAUGAAAAUGACCAACAUCACCACAGUCUAUAUAUAUAUAUAUAUAUAUAAAUUUAAUUAUUUAGUAAUUUGAUUACAUUAUCAUAACCUUUUGGUAUGUUGCCACAUUGUUAUUAUUCUAUGUACCUAUAAAAAAUAGAGUUUUUAUAAUUUUUAAAACAUUCCUUUGAUUAUUUUUUAAAAUAUUAUUUAAUUUAAAAUUUAUUAAAAUAUUAUUUAAAAAAUAAUUUUAAUAUCAACUCAUCAAAACAAUUCAAAAAUAAUAAAAACAAUAACAUUUAAAAGAAAUUUGAAACUACGUUACAAACAAACUGAAACUUGGUUAAUAAUGCAUCUGCACACAAUCAAAUACUUGUUGAAAUACAACGACCGCCUGAACGCGGGUUUCGGUUCAUCUUGAUGUUUUUUAAAGCAAUCUGCAACCUAGAAAGCUUCAACUCUCGAGUAAAAUACACGAAAUACACAAUAUGUUUACAAGUAAAUCCAUGACGUGAUCCACAAAUCUAACAAAUGGUCCAAGUUUUAGAAGCUAAAGGUACUACAGGACUUCAUCGAGCAACAAGAAGCUAGCUACCAACAGGGUAAUAUCAUGCAAACGAUCCGACUCUUGAAACUUGUGAUAAUGCAUCUUCGAAGUGGUCAUCAUCGGCCUUUUCAGAGCUCAAGCUUGGUGGGAUAAAAGACCUGUAGAUGCGUUCCAUGUCAGGAAUUUCCUUCAAUUCACGGCAAGCAACUUCGAGGGCUGUGUCGGCGAAAGAUCUAUAGAAUUUCUUCUGACAGACAAAGGCGAACAGCAAGGAAAGUAUCGGCAGUGGAAUUAGCAAGAGAGUACUGAAGGAGAAUUUCUUCACCCCAAAAUAACCGAACAUUGUAACUUGGUAUAGUAUCAGAGCAGCUAUGACUCUUGUAUGGAUGUGGGGCCACAUCCUGCCAUAGGUCUCAUAGGAUGGAGCAUAUACUUUGAGUGCCUGUUAAAUUUAACCACAUUUGCAAUUAAUAUUGAACAUGUUUAGCUGCAAAACUGGUCGCAUGUUUUGUGAAAAUACGAACUUCUAUUUGCCAAAACUUGCAGCACUUCAAAAUAAAAUGAAAAUAUCAAAGUGAACACAACAGAUAGAUCCGAAAUUCAGCAAAUGUUUGUCAUAGCAAUACACAAUACAUGUUGUUUUAGCUAGCUACAAAAUUUGAAGUGUUAACCCAUCAGAAUGAAUCCAAGCCAUCUCAUGCCAGCACAGGUUUGUGGAAAUAUUGAUUUCUAUUUGCCAGAAUUUGCAACAGUUCAAGGAAUAUGAACAUAGAAAGCACGCAAUGAAUUCUCCGAAAAAACACACACACACACACUGCUAGUCAAACAGAGUAACCAUUCCAAAAUUCAAACAAAACAUUCUAAGAUUUUUAUGAAUGGUGUGAGAUCCUUACCUGGUUCCUAAGGACAAGCCAUCCCAGGCCAAAGUACACCACUCCAAAUGGAAUAAUCAGAGGGGCUAUGACAGAGUAGCAAAGAACAAUUGUGAGAACAAGCAUGUCACCAGGAAUCCGGGUUGCAUAUCCGAAAUCUUUAGGAAACCAAGCUUCUUUUAACUCAGCUUCGGUCUUGCAUAGAUACUUCUUCUUUAGAUGAAAAAUGAUUAGAGGAACUAUACGAGACAGCUCGAGUCCAUAGCCAACGAAAAACCUGAGAGCCACAGAAUACUUAAAAGUCAAAAAAUGCAUUCCAAAAAGAAAAAUGAUUACCAGACCAAGUAUCUAGAUCAAAAUAAAUAGAAACAGAAAAGGCAAACACAUUAGCAUAAGAAACUCCUUUUCAUGUCCAAGUGGUUUAGCAGAGCACAAGAAGAUCUUGUAGCAAGGGGAGUUCUUUGACAGAAGAACGAAAUAAAACAGCUCUGGCUGUCGCGCAACAUCUUCUGGAGGGGUAGACGACUAAAACCAUAGCUUUCUAAAAGGAAAAGAAUUAUAAGUUAAUAUAGUGAGCUUACUUCAGAGCCACAAAAGUCAGGAAGAAAGUUGCAUUCCCCGGGAGGCUACUCGCAAGCAAACUAACAAUGGAGUUUGGUUUCGCCUCAAUGCUCUUGAACGUGCUGAAUAAGGUGCCACCCAGUGUCACUCCAAUAAAGACGUUCAGUAUGGUAAAAUAGAAAUAUUUUCCAGAAGUGGCCCUUACUGCAUGGCCCACUGAAGGAAUUCCCUCAGCCUUUGAGAGAGCCAAAAGUAACUUGGGCAACAGUGCCAAAAACACAAUGAGUGCAAUCUGAGGAAGGUACGCUUCCAGCACCGUCUUAACUGAGACAAUAUUCACAAUUGGCUUUAAAAAUGGGAGAAGUUUCUUCAGAUUAUCCAGGGUUGUUAAUGCGGAAAUGAACCCGAUUGGUAUCAUAUAAAACAAUAUGGUCAGAGCCACAAUAAAACAAACAACAUAAUGCCGGAUUAUCCUUUGAAAGACCUUAAUUUUAAGAUUAGACCAUAUUAUUUGACGUGGUUCAGGGGCUUCCAUGACAGUCCAGGUGUCAACCAUUUGGGCAUGUAGACUCUGGGCGGCAGAAGCUGCAGUCACCCUAUUGGUGAAGAAGGCAAAAGCACAAGGUUGUUGUUUCUCCCGGAGAGUGACUUUCUGUUCAGCUUCCAACUUUGGGAUUAGCUCUUUAAUCUUCUCAUUGUAGUGCUCUAUGCUAUCUACCUUUCUACCAACAAUACCAAGGGGGCCAGUUCUGAUGGUUGGUCUCAAUCCUUCUGGUUUGCCUGUUUUUUUGGAUUCAUUGUAUACAGCUUCUGCAUGUGCAUGCUUCUUCUUGUAUCCUUCCAACUCUUUAUAAAUCUUGUUAACCUAGAAGAGUUUUAGAAAAAGAGGAGGCUCAAAAUCAGCAGAGCUCAUACAGUAUGCAGCACAACACAGAAAAAGAGAACUCACAAUUGACAUUGGUCGAGGAUCAUAAAUUCCUUGAUAUGGAAUAAUAUAUACGAUAACCUCAAAUAUACUUGAUAUUGAAUCAUUAUAUUACUAGCACUAAAUUCCUUCUUUUUUCCCUUUUCUUUAUAAUAAAAUCUGAAAGCUCAAAGGAAUUGGAAACUAAAAAACGAGGGUUGGCUCAAAUUACAGAAGCAAUUUAGGAUGUGGAAUCCAGAACAUCAGGGUAAGUGGCAAGAGCAUGGAAAGGAAGAAACUAAUUUAAAAUUAAAAAAUACCUGUUUGUUGUUUGUCACCACCAUUGAUCUAUAGAAUGUCUCAGGAUAGAUGGAUUUAAAAUAUGAAUCAACCUGUUCCUUUCUAGUUUGGCCCUCAGGGACAUGAGGUAUGUCUCUGACAAGAACAGCGAAUUGCUCUGGUUUCAGUUCAGGAGACAUUAGAGCAUUUGCUCUCAUUCCAGAAACAUGCACGUACGCCUUCCAUAAGAAGAAAUAGGUAACAAGAGAAACCCAAUAGGUAGCAAUCAAGAAUGCCCACAGCCUUGGACUCCCCCCCUGCAGACAUAUUUUUCCAUGGAGCAAAACGAAAACGGGAGCAAGUCAGUUCAAGCAAAAAAAACAAAGAAAGAGGAGUUGUGGAGGUACCUUAACAUUUCCCAUUAAUAAGUUGUCAAUUUCACUAAAACUUAUGGAGGAGUUGCCUUUAGCUUUUUGUCUUUUCACAUUGUCGUCGGUGGCAGCUACAGGCAGAAGUACCGGCAGCAGAACAAGGCCAGACAAAACCAAUAUUGCCAGCGCUGUCAUAUAGAACAAAAAAAAAGUACAAAUAAACAACGUGAGGAGAGCAGUUGUCUGAGAAAUAAUACAUGGAAUGGAAGUGAGAGUUGUCCGAAAUCAUGAAGAAAUGUACACAGAUGGAUUUGCUUAAUCCUAUGAUGUAAGGUGCUUGUCAGUAAUUCAAGCACGACUAAUAAGAGUAGUCAUUGUCAAACCCAAUUAUUUUAGAUUUAUACUUUUUUUAGUUGCAUACCACCAUGUAAACAAACUUUGUUCUGAGCAAACUAAAGUAAAUGAAAAAGGAAAUCGGAAAACAGAGAAAAAUGAAAAGGUUACAGUAUCAAGUUUUGGAAGGCAACCAUCCCUUCGCCUCGAGAAAUUAAUUUAAGGGGAAGAAAGAACAGAACUACCACCAAAAAGGGACACAAUUAAAGACUCAAAGCAACAAAGAAACCCGUAAAAGGUAUGAUUCUAACAACCUGAUAAAUUAGUCACAACAUUACAAUCGAAGCGAUUCUUUGUAUUACAAGAGAGAGAGAGACUCGGGGAAAGAGAGAUUAAUUAAUCAAAUACCAGUGCUCAAGAAGACAAAGUAGACAGCAGCGUCUACACCGGACAUGUUUAUAACGUCCUGCUCGCUGGAAGACAUGGCUUCCCGGAUCCAAGCACAAGGGUUGCGGGAUCUUGACCCACCCUCCCAGGGAUCCAGACCUUUCAAGAUCCGGUUGGGGUAAUACACGAAGGAGUUUCCAGGCUUCCUCGACAGCCAUGUAAACAGAAGCAUUAACACUACGAAAAUAAAAAACGAGGUCCCUAAAGACGUCAAGAAAGAUGAGAAAUCCAUCACUCGCUCAGAACAGAAUUAUUGUGAAAUGGGAAUUAUAAGGGGGGAAGGAAAGGAAAAGUAGCAGUUAAGACGAGGGCAAUGAAAGCAAGUAACCGUUGAGGGAGGAAAUGUUGAAUGUAUUUAUGGUAGAGCAUUGAUUGGUGGGUGGUUCGAAAGCAAAAAGAUGUGAGAAUACAAAAUAUCUGCCAUAAAGACGAAGGCUAUCGAGCUGUUUGGUUCUGUGGGGUUUCGCGCUUUUGUUUUUUUUUUUUUUUUUUUUUUUUUUUUUCCAUCAUCAUCGUCGCAGUGCUUUCAUUUCACAGCCCUCGUAAAUAAAAUGAGUGUGUCUGUGCGUGAAAAGAAAGAAAGCACAGAGCGCGCUUCGCUUCGAGAUCUUUAUUUUAUUUUUAAUUUGGCACGAUUCAAUUUUUAUUUAAGCAUUUUUAAAAAUGCACUGUCCACGUCAACGCGAUCUUUUUAGAUAAUGUUUUCUGCAUCCUAGCUCUCAGGUUCAUAACUUUUAACUAUUUUGACGUGUGUUUAGACUACUUUUGUAUGUGUCUCCAUUAUUUUAGAUUAAAAAUAAAAUUUUAAAAAUAAAAAAUAUUAUUUUAAUAUAUUUUUAGAUAAAAUUAUAUUUAAAAAGUACUAAUAACACAAUAUUUAACAUUAUCUAAAACAAUUUACAACUGAUUAGAAAUGCCAUAGCUUAUGGUUUCUUUCCAUGUUUUACAAUAUAUUUUACUUUAACAAAAUAUUAGUAUUACUGUUUUUUUAUUAUUUUAAUAUAUUAAUAAUAAAAUUAAAAAAAUUUAAAUAAUAAUUAUUUUAAUAUAUUUUAAAGCUGAUGAAAUUUUUAAAAAAACAUCACAUAUUACAACACCAAACACGCUUGUUUAAAUAAGAUAUUAAAACUAUCUUGUAAUUUAUAAAAAUCAAAAUGUUAAAUGGUAUGUACUGAACAUGUAGAAGGAAUAGAACAAUGUUUUACUUAAAUGAUUUCUAUUUAUUCUGAGCUUUAAUUCGUCAAUCAAUUAUUUUUAUUGUAGCGUCAGUUACGUAGCUAGGAGUUAUUCCUUCAUUUAAUCUCUUAUAAAACACGGAAACCGCAUAUCCUUUUUAAAGUAAAGAUAAUUUUAGAUACCAAGACAUGGAAUAUCUUUAAUAUAUAAUUAUCUCCAAGAUAUGAUUCUUGUUAAAUUUAUAAAACAAAUAAAUAUUACUAUAAUAAAAUGUUAAUCAUAUAGAUGAAUUCUUCAAUAAUAAUCAUUUUCGAUUCUAUUCUUAUAUAUAAAAAAAAAAAAUUGAACUAAAUUUUUUUUAUAUAAAAAAACCAAGAUUAAACCGAAACCAGCUUAAAUCAAUCGGUUUCAGUUUGGUUUGGUUUUUUAAGACAAAAACUUGUUUAAACCUGUUUAACUCGGUUUUUUUUGUUUUGACCCGAUUUUUUCUGUUUGGCUUGAUUCUUUUAGUUUGACUCGAUUUUUUCGGUUUGAGUUCGGUUUGAUUUUAUACUAAAAAACUGAAACAUUUUUUUUUAAUUUUAAUCGGUUUUUUUUUAUAGUUUGAUUUUUUAAUUUUUUUUUUUCAAUUUCCUCAGUUUUUUAAUUUUUUUACUCAUCCUUUAAAUACUCAAUCUAAGAAAUUCUAUAUUGCUCGAGGUCGAAUUACCAAUACUUAAAAUAUAAGAAAAAGAGAUAAAAAAAAAAGAAGAAGAAGAAGAAGAAGAAGAGAAAAUCUCAUUCACAAUCAUUAAAAACAAAGGGAUAAAAAUAUCUUUGUUAUCCUUAAAAUUAUUAUUAUUUUUAAUCUCUUCUCUUGUGUUUCUCUCUCGUUUAUCUCUCUCCCUCGUGCUGUAGUUAUUCAUUAUCACAAUUUGAUUAGAAUCUCUCCUACCAAUAACAAGGAAGGGGGGGGGGAAACUACGGUGUUUAGAAUUUAGACUUAAUUAUAGUAAUUAGUAUCAAACAUUAACAAAUGGCUACUUAAUUUUUAGAUUAUUAUAAUAUCUUGAUAUGAGAAUUAAAAAAAAAAUUAUUUUAAUAAUUUUCAAAUAAAAAAAAUACUUUAAAAACCGAUCUCCUCCACAAAAGGCUAAGCUGAAAGUCGUUAACUCUGUGGGUGCUGAUAAAGGACAGGUUAGUUGAAUCAGAAGGCGAGGAAUAAAGAGAGAGUUAUCCAAAACUGGAAGAGUUUGUGGAAUUCGUGACUGUCAAGGGGCCACAUCUCUCCGUGUCCCCACAUACCAGAUCUAUCCCACCUCCCCACGCCCACUCUCUAGUAACCCCACCGCUGAUUCAAAUUCAAAACAUUACAAAACGGUGCCGUCACACUACGGCUCAAACCAGCAACGUCACUUGCACGCGCUCGGUCGAGACUGUGCAUCUCCCGCUAGUCCUUUUAAAAUCACAAGUUGCAGACAAAGCUAAAACUUCCUUUAGAAGAUGGGACACGCGGCAAGACAGCAGGCUGCCGACUACAUAUCUGGUACUGUGCCGCGUAGAUGUCGGAACUGAUGGACGGGACCCAUUACAGGGAUACUUUGUCGGUUUUAGCGGGGAAUUGAGAAGGGCUGAUCAUUGGGGGCCGACGUGGGUGACGACAGGGUAUCAUGCGGCCCCAUCAGAGCUGCUGCUGCCGCUUGUUUUUCCAGCUGGGGCGUACAACUUGCAAGAUAAGAAAGAACGUGCCGGUUCGAUGCCUUUCUGGUGUUUUUCGAGACCGGUCGGAGGGGAUUGAUGCCUUCGACUAUUGCCUGGAAACGAAAGGAUAAAUUGAGUAGUUAGCAUGUAAAGUGCAAAUAAAGAGUGAAAUGGAAUAAGAAAAAGUUUUGACAGAAACGAGAGGAUAAAAUGAGUAAUUAGCAUGUAAAAUGUUAUCUAAAAUAAAAAAUUUAAGUUAUUAUUUUGGUAUAAUAUAAAUAAUUUUAUUUAUUUAUUUAUUUAUCCAUAAAUAUAUAUGUUAAACCAUUCGUAUAAAAUCCUCGUCUAAUUAUGACAAACUCAUACUUAAUUGUUCAGAAUUAUCUGUGAAAACUACUGUCUGAACAAUAACUUUUAAAAAUUUUAAUUGGAAUCUGUUUUUGAGUUUACAAGUUUAAUAAAGAUAUAUAUAUUUUUACUCAAAAAAUAUAUUUGAAAGAAAAAAUUCAUAAAAUUAUUGCUUUUGUGUGAAACAAUCGAUCACUUAUUCAAUUGUAUUCAACAAGAAAUGUAACAAUUCAAAGGCUCAAAGCAAGAACGAAACCGUUUAAAUAUUGCUAUUCUAAAGCGUAACAACUAUUGUGUGAACAUUAACAUUUGAGAGAUAUUGCUUUGAUACCACUUAUUGCAAGGUAAAAUUUGAGAGAACCAAUCAGCAAGGAAUCCAAUUGAUGAGUUAAGGCUACAAGGGCCUUUACAAGUACCUUAAGAAUAUGAAAAGGAAUAGAUGAUUGGGAAAGGACGAGGGGAAGGAGAGAUAGAGAGAAAGAGUAGAAGAGAAGCACAAUAAUUGCAUUGUAAAUUUUCAUUCCCCUUUCUGUUACAUGCAGUGCCAUAAUUAUAGGAGUGUGAAUUUUAGAAUCUGUUACAAGAGUCACACGAGACUUCUUGUAGUAGUAACAAUAACAAAAUUAAAAUACAAGGUUGAUGUUGGCAGUGUAAUCCAUAUUUAUUUAAACAGUGCAUAUAACUGAGAGUAGUUGAGAGUGAUGAAAUGAUGGCGUUUCAUCACCAAACUUUUAGUUUAAAUUUCUUGUCCCGCUACUAUGCGUUUUGGCUCGCAACAAUACCUUCUUCCCUUUUAAAAAUUUCCUUGUCUUUAAGGGAGAACUGUGGAUACCUCAUGAGAAGGUCAUCAACAAAUUCCCAAGUAGAUUCUUAAGGUGAUAAGGUCUUCCAGUGAACUAAAACUUGUGUUGCUGCCUGAUUUUUAUGCUUGACCAUCCUCUUGUCAAGAAUGGCGUGGGGCUGCAACUCCGGGUCUGGAUUUUAGGUAGGUAAGUUGUCGUACACUAUCUCAGUCCCUGCAUAUUGCUUCAAUUGAGAGACAUGAAAUACUAGGUGUAUGGUGCUUGAACUGGGAAUGCUCAGUUUGUAUACAAUUGCCUCUAUGCGCUCAAUUACUAGGUAUGGACCAUAGUACCUGGCUGAUAACUUAUAUGAACCCCUCUUGUUCACCGUUUGUUGCCUGUAAGGCUGUAAUUUCAAAUAGACCUAGUCUCUCGCCUUGAAGAUACGCUCAUUGCGCUUCUUGUUUGCUAGUUAGAUCAUACGAUGUUGAGCCACCUUGAGAUUAUCUUUGAUAGUCUUAAACCUGUCUUCCUUUUUGGCUAAUUGUUUGUCAAUAGAUUCUAUGUUAGAAUCCUUAGGUAGGUAAGGAAUGUGGAUUUGAGGAUUCUGACUAUAUAGAACUUCAAAGGGUGUAGACUUGAUGGACGAAUGAUAAUUAGUAUUAUACCACCAUUCGGCUAAGGGUAGCCAUUAGUACUAUUGAUCAGUUGUCUCGCUUGUCAUGUGCCUCAAAUAUUGUUCUAAACACUUGUUCACCACUUCUGUCAGCCCGUCUGUUUAUGGAUGAUAGGUUAUUGAGUGCAAUAGUUGAACGUCUUGGUAGGCGAAUAAAUCCUUCCAGAAUAUGCUUAAAAACAUCGGGUCUCUGUCAUUUACUAUUGAAGCAAGUAAGCCGUGUAGUUUAUAGAUGUUAUUCAUGAAAGCAUUUGCCACUGAUGCAGCUGUAUAAGGGUGGGACAAUGCGAUGAAAUGAGCAUACUUACUGAACCUAUCUAUUAUAACCAAAACAAUGUUCUUUCCUUUGGAGUUGGGUAAUCCCUUAAUAAAGUCCAUAAUGAUGUCCACAAAGGGUGCUUGGGGUAUGGGAAAAGGUUGAAACAGGCCAGGUGUUUUGACAUUCUUGUUUUUAUUUUUCUGACAGGUGUGACACUCUCUCGCAUAUGUCCUUAUAUGUUUUUGCUAUUUUCUCCAAUAGAAUAGUGACCCUAGCCGUUAGGUAGUGACAAUAACACUAGAGUUUCCUUUUAUGGUAGAGUCGUGGUAAAUGGAGAUUAGUUCACCUUGCAAGUUAGAAUCAUUGCCCACCACUAGCUUUCUUUUUCUGUAUAGAUGUUCAUUCAAUUAUGUAUACUGCGGAUGCAAGCUAGCAUCUAUGUUUAGGUUGUUGAUGAUCUUUAACAAAGCAGUAUAUACAUCCCAGGACAUCUUCACCUCAUUUAACAAUUGGUCGAAAUGGUAACAAUUGGUCCAUCUAGAUACAACAUCAGUAGCAAUAUUUUCCUUUCCCUUUCUAUAUUCAAUGUCAUAAUCAAAGCCUAAAAGCUUGGCUAACUAGAUGUGUUGGGAUGGAAAAAAAACCUUUUGUGCCAGCAGAUACUUGAGGCCCACAUGAUCUGUUCUGAUUGUGAAGUGUUUUCCCCACAGGUAGUGUCUCCAUUUGGUGACCGUAUGUAGAAUGGCCAACAUUUCCCUUUUAUAAGUUGAUAAUGCUUGUUGUUGUGGUCAUAGUGAUUUGCUGAUGAAUGAGAUAGGGUGCCCCUCCUGUAUAAGUACAACCCCUAUACCCGAUCUUGAGGCGUCUAUUUCAACCACAAAAAACUUGUUAAGGUCAGGGAGGGAGAGAACUAGGGGUUAAGUCAUUGCCUGUUUUAAGUUUUUAAAGGCUUUGGUUGUGUCUUCCUUCUAGGCAAAUACAUCCUUUUUGAGUAGCUGAGUGAAUGGCUUGCUAAUGGCUUUAUAAUUUUUGACAAACUUCCUGGAGUAGCUAGUAAGACCUAAAAAUCCUCGUAGCUGCCUAACAUUUUAGGGUUCAGGCUAGUCGGUGAUGGUUUGAAUUUUCUUAGGGCUAAUAGCUACUCCGUCCUUGGAAAUGACAUGCCCUAAAUACUCUACCCAAUGAAUACCAAAUGCACAUUUGUUGCGCUUAGCUACCAACUAGUGCCCUUUAAGCAAUUCAAAUACGAUUUGCAAGUGUUCCAGGUGCUCAGUCAUUGACUGACUAUAUAUCAAAAUAUUGUCAAAAAAUACUAACACAAACUUCCUUAGAUGCUUGUGGAAUACUUCAUUGAUCAAGCUCUAGAAGCUAGCAGGGGUGUUAGUUAGCCUAAAUGGCAUCACCAAGAAUACAUAGUGGCCGUUGUGGGUUUGGAAUGCUGUUUUGAACACAUCAUGAGGAGUCAUUCUAAUCUGGUGAUAACUAGAUCGUAAAUCCACAUUUGAAAAUAUUGUGGCACUUACCAACUCUUCUAAUAAUUCCUCUACUAGAGGUAUUAGAAACUUGUCUUUGAUGGUUAGAUGAUUGAGAGCUCUGUAAUCAACACAGAGUCUCCAAGAUCCAUUAUUUUUCUUAACCAAGACAACAGGAGAAGCAAAUAGGUUGUUGCUUUGUUAAAUGAUCCCAGACUCGAACAUUUCCUCCACUAUCUUUUCCAAUAUGUCCUUCUGCACUUCAGAAUAUCUGUAAGGUUUGAGGUUGAUUGCUUGUACACCUUUUUUCAUAGGAAUAGUAUGGUUAUGGGUCAUGAUGGGAGGCAGUCCUUCAGGUUUCUUAAAUAUUUCCUUGUAACGAUUAAGUAAUUCUUCCAGAGCCACACAUUCCUUCUAAUUGCUUAUGGUUGAUUGGGAUAUAGGAAUUAUAUCCCUGUUUGUAUCUUUAAUAGUCGUGAAACAACAUAGACUUAUACCAGAUAGUUGAGUCAAGUUAACCAUUAGGCUGUUAAGUUGUGCUAGUUCAAGAAUUUAUACCUUGGUGUAGUCGGUGCCUUUAAGGACAACAUCUUGACCUUGCCACUUGAAGGACAUCCAUAGAUAUUUAUAGUUAGACAUAACAUUACUUAGCAUUGCUAGCCAUUAUAUGCCUAACACCAUGUCACAGUUGAUCAAAUCGAUAAUGAAUACGUCUACAAUAAAAUGUACUCCUUGCAUUUGCCAGCUGAAAUUCCUGCACAUUGUUGAGCAGUGCAUAAUACCCCUAUUUGUUGUUUCGACUACCAGGGUUCGAAUGGGGUGGGCUAGACAUUGUAAUUUAUUGGCAAACAUACUAUCGAGGAAGAUGUGUGUGUUGCCAAAAUUGAUUAGGAUGUAUAAAGGUUGCUUGUCGACCUUCCCUGCUACUCAUAAUGUAUGGCAACCCAUCGUACCCUCCAGAGAAUUGAGAUAAAUAUAGGGGGUAACUAGGUCAUGCUCCACAAUAUAUGUUUCGCCUUCUGCUUUUACAACAUCCUCAUCAUCUUUGAGUAUACAUAGAGAGUACAAACACUUAUUUUUGCAUUAGUGACUGGCACAAAUCGCUCGUCACGUCAGAAACAUAGUCCCUUGGCCCUUCUUUCCUCUAGGUUUAGAGGCCGAAUAGUUAUGGUUGGUUUUUGUGUAGGGGUGGGUAAUAUGCCUUGUUGUGUUUGUCUGAAGGUAUUAAGGUUUGGGGUUACUAUUUGUCUUGAAUAUGUCAUGAGAGUGUUUUGUUUGAAGGAAAUCAAAGGAGGUAUUUUAUUAGGGAGUGUAUCUAGGGAGUGUUUGGUACGAUUGCGGUUGUGAUCUUCUAUCAGACAAGGUAUUAUCUUACAAUCGGGCAAGAUUGUAAACUUGUCUGAGGGCUUUAAGAUCAAACAUUUUAAUGGGGUUUUUUUAUUUCUAUUUCUAGUCCUUCAAUAAAAAAUACCAUUACCUGUCUCUCACUGGUAUCAACCUUAUUCCAAAGCACAUCAAAAUCUUGAAUAUACGCCUUCAAGUUGCCAGUCUGCCUUAGUUCCAUCAGCUUCUCAAGAGGAUCUUGUGAAGUUUUGAUGCCUGACACGACCAAAAGAUUGAUGUCUUCUUCCAAGUGUAGGAGUGUCGAAGUAAUAAAUAACCCGACAAGAUCGGGGUCGAACCACAGAGAGGUUAAUUGUAUAAAUUAUAAAUAACAAGACAACAACAACAAUAAUAAUAACAAAAAUAACAACAACAACAACAACAAUAAUAAUAAUAAUAAUAAUAAUAAUAAUAAUAAUAAUAAUAAUAAUAGUAAUAGUAGUACUAGUAAUAAUAAUAAUAAUAAUAAUAAUAAUAAUAAUAAUAAUACUACUAAUAAUAAUACUAAUACUAAUAAUAAUAUUAGUAGUAGUAGUAAUAAUAAUAAUAAUAAUAAUAAUACUCAAUACGUGGCGUUGUUAUACCUGAGAAUGAUCUAAAAGAUCGGGUCACAGGUUUCCAGCCUAUAUACUGAGUUUAUGAAAAGAUCAAAGAGAUAUAUUAUAUAAUAUAAACAGAUUUCUGAUGCGAAUGAACAAGGCAAGAUCAACAAUAUCAGGAUCCUUGAUCAAACACAGAGCAUACUUAACGUACAUAAAAUAUAACAAGAAUGUAAAUAAUAAUAAUAAUACUACUACUAAUAAUAAUAAUACUAAUAAUAAUAAUAAUAAUAUUAGUAAUAAUAAUAAUAAUAAUAAUAACAAUAAAAAGACGAGGAGGAGGAAGAGACAAUAAUAACAACAAUAAUAAUAAUAAUAAUAACAACAAUAAUAACAAUAACAACAAUAAUAAUAACAAUAAUAAGAAAAGCAGGAAGAAAUUAAUGAGAACUUUGAGAUGGAAGAUUAAUGUAAGGAUUAAACAAUAAUAAAGACAAAUGUCAAGGUUAGAGGAUCCACCAAUGGUAUUUCAAACAAGUAUAGUAUAAACUCUUAUUACUCAAUUUGGAAACCACACACGAAGGAGGUUCCAGUCGGAUGAUUUGUCAUUAAUAGCUCAUUAUAAAUUAUUAACAUGAUCAUAUUAAUUAUCUUAUGUACAUAACACCAAACUUUUAAAUAUUGUCAGGAAUUCAUGAUGUUAACUGAUGUUAACAACAAAUCAAGUACCUUUCAUAGCCCCAGGUGUAGGUAAUACCAUACGGUUGGGUUAUGAGAGUGCCAAGCAUUUGUUGUACCAAGUAUUAUACAACACAAAUUUAGAUUAACCAUUUAACAAGCAAGGUAUUAAGAAUUAGUAAGAUAAAAAGAUAAGACAUGUUAAUAUUAAACAUUAAGGUCCAUAUUGAGUUUACACCAUACUUGUUCUUACACCAUUAGUGUAACCUUUUCAUCUUGACAUAAUAAACUUAGCUAAACAUAAUGAAGAAGAAAAACAUAAAUAAAAUACAAGUUAACUAAGGAAAGGAAAGGAAAUGAAAAGCAUAAACAAGAAAUUAAUAAAAGCAAAGCUUAAGAAUUACAAAAAAUAUAAAGAGAGAAAUAAAGAGCAUGAACUUGAUCUGAACAACCAAGCCCCUAAAUACAUGGCAAAUGCCUCCUUUUAUAGGCCAAAAUUCGGAAUUAUUGAUUUGAUGACUAAUUGUUGAGUGGGUGGCCACCUUUUGACUUGGUGAAAAUCCUUAUCUUCUUGUCUUAAUAAAACAAAAAUUCUAGAAUCAGAACUGGGUCCAAAUGUCCAAAUGAAAGUUCUGCGAAAUUCUCUUAGCUUUCCAGAAAAAAAAAGAUGAGGUCAUUUGGACUUCUAGAACUCAAGAUAUGGGCUGAACACUGAAUAGUGUUUGGGCUGCAGAAACAGCUUCGGACUUCUCCGUUGUUGCUAUAAUUUGGACUUGAAAACGGCCUUCUUAGAUCUUGAUAUUUCAAAUGAAAGUUGUAGGCCUAUGUCUUAUAAAAUCUCUGUAAACAUUUCAGAUCAUUUGGAUAUCUAGAACUCGAGAUAUGAGCUGAACACUGAACAGUGUUGGGCUGCAGGACAGAUUCAGACUUCUCCUUUCUAAGCUUCACCCUUCUUUAUCUUCAAAAUUUCAGUAGUUGAAUUCAUCAAUCAAUCCUUUGAUUUAUGUGAUAUGCCUGCAUUUAGGAUGAACAUUUACCAUAUAUUAGGGUAUUUUAUAAUAUUAGACUUCUUAUUAUAAAACAUGCUUUAGUUAAGGAGUUAUUGAUACUUUAAGUGCAAAAUGAUGAUAUAAACCCUUGAUAAACAUGCACUUUUAAGUACUAAUCAAUGCUAGUAUAAAGCCAUUUCGUCUAGAUAAAAGGAGGCCAACUUCACCUUCCCUGUUUCUUUAAUUUCUUCCAUGUCAAAAUAUUGAUUGCACUUAUACAACCAUUUAUGAACAUUUUCCCCAUCAAAAGAAGGGAAAUCUCUUCAAGGUUUAUGUACCCUGUAGGAGUGUUGCAUUUCUUCGCUAUAAUAGCCCAUUUUUAAAGUAGAACCACCUUGGGGAAGGUCUUGAUGAUCCUUCAUAGAACUACAUUCCAAAGUACUUGUUUGCAUCCUCUAUAGGAGCGUAGAUUGUUGGUAAGCUAUUCCAUUAAUGAGUUUCUUGAGCUCUUCGAUCUUAUUAUCUUGAGUCCCCUUGGUAGUGUGUAGUAGUUGUCCAUAAGUUUCCAAUUGUGUUAAGACUUGUGCAUGUCAUAUUGAUUGCUCAUUGUUGGCAACUUCAAAGGAAUCUUUCAAUUUCUUAAGAUCUUGGGACCUCGUCUCUAGUGGCAUGGUUGAAGUCUGAAUAUCAGGUGCUCUGAUACCACUUGUUGCAAGGUAAACUUUGAGAGAACAAAUCAACAAGGAAUCCAACUGAUGAGUUAAGGCUACAAAGGCCUUUACAAGUAACAUAAGAAUAUGGAGAGGAAUAGAUGACUAGGAAAGACUAAGAGGAAGGAGAGAUAGAGCAGAAGAGAAGCAUGAUAAUUGCAUUGUAAAUUUUCACUCCCUCUUCUAUUACAUACAGUGCCAUAAUUAUAGGAGUGUGAAUUCUAGAAUCUGUUACAAGAGUCACACGAGACUUCUUGUAACAGUAACAAUAAUAGAAUUAAAACACAAGAAUGCUGUUAGCAGUGUAAUCCAUAUUUAUUUAAACGAUGCGUAUAACUGAGAGUGAUGAAACGAUGGCAUUUCAUCACCAAUCCUUUAUUUUAAAUUUCUUUUCCCUCUACUGUGCGUUUUGGCUCGCAACAAAGCUUUAGUGCCUUCAACCAAAUUUCAAGCACUCGAGUAAGUUGUGCACGCAACGCACAUUGAGGACGAAGGGAAAACACUUGCACGUUUGAUGAAACAUUACAAAUUCAUUGGCCGAGAAAGGGAUUUCCCUUUUGAAACUACCUCAAAUGUAUGAAGAAAGCAAUGAAAGCAACCCCAAAGGGAUCGGCAUAAUAUAUCUAAACCAAUCAAAGGUCCUUAGCCCAUCAAGGAUCGGGAUGCCAAUGCAAUUCCUCAUCUUCGUGUAAUUGGUUAUAGUAGGUGAUGUACAAUGGCACGUUGUAUGUCUUUAAGGUGGGUUAAAGGUCUCCAGGGCCGGGAAAGGAGCUAAUCGAAGAAUGUGGUGGUGAAAAUUCGGAGGCACCAUCAUUUUAUAUAGAAAAGUUUUUUUUUGCUGCUAGGUGACACGACUAAAAGAUUGAUAUCUUCUCCCAAGUACAGGAGUGUUAAAGUAAUAAAUAAUCCGACAAGAUCGAGGUCGAACCACAAAAAGGUUAACUAUAUAAUAAUAAUAAUAAUAAUAAGUUAAAGAGAAUUUUUAGAUGUGAGAUUAAUGUGAGGAUUAAAAAAUAAUUAAAACAAAUGUAAAGGUUAAAGGAUUCACUAAUGGUAUUAAAAAUAAAUGUAAUAUAAACUCUUUUUAUUUCUUAACUAGAAACCACACGUAAAGGAGGUUCCAAUCGGAUGAUUUGUCAUUAAUAGAUCUUUAUUAAUUGUUAACAUAAUCAUAUUAAUUAUCUUAUUUAAGUGACACCAAACUUUUAAAUAUUGUCAAGAAUUCAUGAUGCUAACUUAUGUUAACAACAAAUCGAGUUCAUUUCAUAGCACUGGUGUAGGUUAUAACAUUCGGUUGGGCUAUGAGAGUGCCAAGCAUUUGUUGUACCAAGUGUUAUAUAACAUAAAUCUAGAUUAACCAUUUAACAAGCAACGUAUUAAGAAUUAGUAAUAUAAAAAUGAUAAGACAUGUUAAUAGCAAGUUGUUUAGGAUAUAAGUAUUGAAGUCUAUAUUGAGUUUAUAUUAUACAUAUUGAUGUAACCAUAUUAUUCGAUAGUUUCACCCGCAUUUAACUAGUGUUUUGCAUAUGUUAUUUCUAUAAAAUGCCUUGAUAUUCUUUGUUUAUGUUUUGAAGGCACUUUUGGAUGAAAAAUACAAAAAGGAGUAAAUUGGAGGUAAUUGGCAGAUUUGACGUUCAGUCGAUGUUUUGUGCAGAGCGUGAGUUCUAGAGGUUGAAACGAAGUGAUUCCAAUGGCAUUAAAAAGCUAACAUCCAUGACUUUCUGGAAAUGUAAUUCAAGAAAAAUAAAAAGAGAAAGAUCAUGGAAAUCACAUCCUUCAAAGUCAAAUCACGCAGUUUGCCAAUGUUGACCUUUGCCCAUUCAAAAUUCAAUAUCUGGCGCUUCAGAAGUCCACUUGAUGCAAACUCAAUUUUGUUGGAUUCCUUACUCAAAUCUCUAUAAACGCUCCAAAAUUCAGCCAAAAACGAUGUCAUAUGAGGGAGAUAUGAGUUUUCAAAAAUGAUAAUUGAAUUCUGCCAGCAUGCAGGUUGCGUGAAGAAACGAAUCCAAAUUUCAUCCAGAAGCAUCCAAACCGACCAACAAUUUAACUCUUCUAGUAAAUAUUCUAGAAGGUCAAGGAAGGCAGCCACCAACCUCAAGUCAGCCAGCAGCCAGCCACCAACCUCAAGUCAGCCAGCCGCCUUUACACUACCACCAUCUAUUGAUGUUCACACUUGAACUUUGAUUUUCUUACUUACAAUUUGUAUAUAAAUAGAGGGUGAGUAGAAGGAGGUAGGGCAAGUAAGAAGGGAGGAAACACAAACUCUCCUCUCUACAAAUCAGAAAUUAUGUAUUCUUUCAUCUUUAGGAGUAGUUGUUCAAUAGAUAUGCAAGGCUAAGCUCGUUUUCUUGGUUGCAAGGACACAACAAACCUUUGGAUUUCAAGAACCGUGAGAUUUAUUCUUCCUUUUAUUUUCAGUUUAUGUUAUGAAUGAGUAUGAUUGUUUUCCUAUGCAUAUUUCCUAUGAUUGUUUAUCUUAAUUGCUAGAGCGGACUCUAAGUUAUUAUUGUGAACAAUCUAUUGCUAAGUUUGAUAUCAAAACCGGAGUUGUGGUAUAUAAACUUGUGAAGCAACUAAGCUUGAUAAUUGUAGCGGAACUACGUUAUUAAACUUAGGGAGAACAUUCGAUCAUAGCAACACAAAUUGACAACUUGGUUGUUAAGAUUAAUGAAUUUAUCUGGAUCUUAAGGCUGCCAUUGGAUUAAAUCAUUAGUGCGGACACUGUGAUUGUUUGUUGGUUAGGGCUAGUUAUACGGCGGAUCCGUUAAUUAACCAAUAUUAAGAAAAGAUAAAAUUCAUGAUAUAAACUGGAGUUUCGUUUCAAGGAUCGGUUCUAAUCUCCGUUGGUAGAUGUGUGCUUGCAACCAAGGUUUGUUUUCUUGAUAUAUUUCAAUUUCAAUUGAUUUUGUUUGCUAGUUUAAUUGCUGCCAUAGCUUAGAUAAUCACAAACCAAAUCCCCCCAAUUGCAUAACGUACAAUAUAAAAAUCUGACUUGAAACUUCCUCGUGGGAUCGACCCCUUGCUUGCUCUAUACUAUCUUGUGUGUUUUAAGCUAGGGUAAUUAAUUUGUGCGACCGCGACAUCGCAACACAUAUCCUAACACCAUUAGUGAAACUUUUUCACCUUUACUUAAUAAACUUAGCUAAACAUAAUGAAGAAGAGAAACAUAAAUAAACAACAUAAGAAAAUAAGUAUAGUAAAGGAAAUGAAAAGCAUAAACAAGAUAUUAAGGAAAAUAUAACAUGAUAUAAAACUUAAACAUUACAAAAAUAUAAAGAAAGAAAUAAAGAGCAUGAUCUUGAUUUGAAAACCAAGAUACCUAAAUGCUUGGUAAAUGCCUCAUUUUAUAGGCUAAAAUUUGGAACUAUUGAUUUGUUGACUAAUUGUUGAGUGGGUGGCCACAUCUUGACUUGGUAACAAUCCUUGUCUUCUUGUCUGAACAAAACGUCAACGCUAACAUUGGAAUUUGAAUAGAUUUUCGUCAUGAAAGUUCUAGAAAAUUGUUUCAGAUUUCCAACAAAAAAAGAAUCAGUGCAUUUGGACUUCUAGAACUCGAGAUAUAGGCUGAACACUGAAUAGUGUCUUGGUUGCAGGACAUAUUCCGACUUCUCAGUUGUUGCUACAAUUUGAACUUGAAAAUGGCCUUGUUGAAUCUUGGACUUCCAUGAAAGUUUUAGGCCUAUAUCUUAACUUUUCAUCCAUAUAUAGCUGACCUAAAUCCAAGUUCUACAGCUCCAAUUAUGAUCCAAUAACCGAAUGGUGUUCUAGUUUGGACUGAACUGACAUCUCUUUUCUAAGCUUACCCUCUCUUUGUCUUCUCAAUUUCAGUAAUUAAACUCGUUAAUCAAUUGAUAAUAACGCGAGAGUUUGUAAACCUAAAUAUUUCAAAAGAAGUAUGUGAUAGACUUUGUAUAAAUAUUGCAAAUAACCAUUGGAAAAUAUUUACUAAGAUGCGUCUUAAGAGUCAAUAAAAUUCUCCAUUACUCUGCCAUCCUAGUAAUGACGGUUUUGUCAAAUGGUUUUAAUAAUUGCAAAAAUAGUUAGUUGGUUAGUUUUCUUAAUAUCAACUACUACCCUCUCCCCCCAAUCAAAAGGAGACAAUGUCCUCAAUGUCCUAAGAUAGAAAGAUAGAGUAUAGAACAUCACCUAAAACAACGAACACUGACAAACCUGAAACAAACUUAAAUAAAUAUAAGAAAUAACAAAACAAAAUAAUAUGCUAAAAGACAUAAAUUUUUACAAACUAAGACUCAUAUCGUAGUUGUGAUUGUGGCUCACAUCUUCCCUUUGUUUUACAUUCAAGAACGGUUUAAACGCCCUCUAUAGGUCGGGGAUAGACUUCUCAUCUAGUUUUCUUAAAAACUAGCAAACAUGGUUUUUUUUUUAGUUAGAUUCUCAAGACUAUGUCGAGCAUGUUCUUUAUGGAAUUAUAGGCAUAAAUCAUGAAUUGCAUGAUGCACUUCUCCAUUAGGAUGCAUCUCAAGAGUCAAUAAAAGAUUAUCUAAAGACCUCUUACUCAUGCCAUCCUUUUACAAAUACCAUUCCUAAAGAGUGACAUUUUGCAUUACAAGUCAUUGCAUUACAUCUGUGACAGCCUUUAAGUUGUUUUGCACGGCGUUACCUCUUUCAGGCAUGUAUGAAAUGAAAGAAUUGGAGGAAUCACAUGAUAAUUGGACCUUUGCUUCAAUCAGCCAGCGAAUAUCUUCAGGAAUUCUAUGAUUCAUUAACAACCUCAAUCUUUCACACCUAGCAUGGUAAAUUUUUGCAAUCGUAUUUGGAGGCAAAGCGAUAAAAUAUUUUUUCAAUUUUUCAAGAGUGGUGUCCAUUUUCAAAUGAUAAUUGAAGAAGAGAUGCAAAGAAAGGAGAAAGAUCAAAGAAUUGCACAAAUAUAUACACAGAUAUCAGUUAUCAUGAGAAACUAAAAGAACCGACUUAAGGGUCACAGAAUACCGUAAUCUGCCAUUUGAUCAGGGUGAGAGACUACCAAAAUAAAAGUCACACAAAAUAGAAACACAAAAACAAUAUGAGAAAAAGAAUCAGUCUUUAUGUACAGGAUCACUUAAUUCAAUAGAGUUAUUUUCAAUUGAAAAAUUAUCAAGGUAAAUUUUCAAAUGAUGUCCAUUUACCUUGAAAACAUUGUCAUUCUUUGGAUUCUCGAUAUCAUAGGCCCCAUAUGGAUACACAUGUUUCACAAUAAAAGGACUGCUCUAUCUUGAUCUUAGUUUUUCAGGAAAUAAAUGGAGUCGAGAAUUAUAAAGUAAGAUUUUCUUACCAACAUUGAAUUUUUUUUAGUGUUUUCUUGUCAUGAAACUCUUUGAUUCUUGCUUUAUGAAUUCUUGAAUUUUCAUAUGCAUCAUUUCUUAUUUCCUCAAGCUCAUUUAUUUGUAAUUUUCACAGCUGACUAGUAUCAUCAAGGUUUGAAUUGAAAUCUUAAAUAGCCCAAUAAGCUUUAUGUUCAAGUUCCACAAGCAAGUGACAAGGUUUUCCAUAGACUAGUCUAUAAGGUGACAUACCUAAUGAUGUUUUAUAAGUAGUACGAUAAGCUUAAAGUGCAUCAUUAAGUCUUAAAGCCAGUCUUUCCUAUUAGGGUUUACUGUUUUCUCCAAGAUCUGUUUGAUCUCUCUAUUAGCAAGUUCCACUUGUCCACUUGUCUAUGGGUGAUUCCAUAUUUCUUCAUUAAAGACUCAAAUGACUUGUUGCAUCAAUGUGUUCCAACAUCACUUAUCAUGGCUCGAGGAAUUCCAAAUCGACUUAAAAUAUUUUCUUUCAAAAACUUUAUCACUAUUUUGUGAUCAUUGCUUCGAUUUGGAAUUGCCUCUAUCCAUUUUGAAACAAAAUUUACUGCGACUAAUAUGUACAAGAAACCAAAUGAUGAAGGAAAUGGACCCAUGAAAUCUAUACCCCAACUGUCAAAGAUCUCAAUGACAAGAAUAUGAUUAAAAGGCAUCAUGUGACAUUUUGAAAUAGAUCCUAACUUUUGAUAAUUUUCACAAGUCUUGCAAAAUACAUGUGAGUUCUUAAACAUGGUGGGCUAGUAAAAUUCACUUUGUAAGAUUUUUGCAGUUGUCUUUCUUGAUGAGAAAUGACCCCUACAUGCCUCAGAAUGAUAAAAUUUAAUGACACUACUUACCUCAUUGUCCGGAAUGCAUCUUCGAAAUAUUUGAUCAGGACAAUAUUUGAAUAAACAAGGGUUAUCCCAAUAAAAGUUCUUCACUUCGUUCAAGAUCUUUCUUUUGUCUUAGGUACUCCAAUGAGUUGGCAAAUGUCCUGAAACAAGAAAAUUAAUAAUAUUAGCAAACCAAAGCAUCGUAAAGAUAGAACAUAAAGAUUCAUCAGGAAAGUAGUUAUUGAUUGGUGUAAUAUCAGAUCUCGAAUCUGUUGUCAGUCUUGAAAAAUGAUCUGCGACAAUAUUUUCGAUGCCUUUCUUAUCUUUGGUUGUGAUAUUAAAUUUUUGAAGCAACAAAAUCUACCGCACCAAUCUAUCCUUAUAAUGUUCAUUGGAAAUAAGAUAUUUCAAUGUUGUAUGAUCACUAAAAACAACAACAAGUGAGCCAACAAGAUAAAACUUAAAUUUUUCAUAUGCAAAUAUUAUUGCAAGUAAUUCUUUUUCAGUGGUGGUGUAAUUCAUUUUAGCACUAUUUAAAUUUUUACUUGCAUAGUAAAUCACAUAAGGUUUCUAAUCUUUUUUUUGUCCCAAGAUAGCGCUCACGACAUAAUCAUUAGCGUCACACAUUAUUUCAAAAGGUAAUGAUCAAUCAAGAGGUUGGAUGAUAAGAGCAAAAGUAAGCAAGUUUUUAAGUUUAAUAAAGGCUUCUUCACAAUUUUCAGUCCAUUCAAAAAUAUUAUCCUUUGUGAGAAGGUUACUCAAAGGCUAAUAUAUUACACUAAAAUCUUUAAUGAACCUUCUAUAAAAACCAACAUGUUCUAAGAAUGAUCUAACAGCUUCUAUAAAAACAUGUGACCUGAGUCAUAAAACCGUGAUAAUUUGAUAGAAAGCAAAGUAAAAUAAAUAAUGAAGCCUACUUUAUAAUCAACUCGAUGCUACAUGAUGAAAUUGAAAAGAAAAAAACCAUUUAAUAAAAGACAACAACUCGAGUCAAUUAGGUUAACUCACUAAACUCGCGACUCGAGUCAUAAGACCGAGAUAACCUUAUAGAAAGCAACCCAAAAAAUUCAUAAAACCUAAUUUUCAAUCAGUCCAAUGUUGAAAGAUGAAAAAAAACUUGUCAAUUAAAAAAAAACAACUCGAGUCAAACCCACACAAGUUAUGAGAACAAACUAACCACGUGUAAAGCAAAUCACAAUAAAUCAUGAAGCCUUAUCUCAAAUAAACUAAAUAUUAAAUUAUAAAAUUAGGAAAAGAAAUAUAGAUUUAAAAGAAAAAAAAAUUAUUGAAAUGAAUAGUGUUUUGUAAGGUGGUGAAAAAUAAAAUCACCACCUUUUUUGGUUUAUAUUUGUUAUGUGACUUGUGCUCCACCAUGAGUAAGAUAUUUUUAUCCCCUAUAAAAUAAAUUUGUAUAUGCGGGUUUUUUGAUAAAUUUUUGUUGCUAAUUUUUUCAAGUGCAAGUAAAAAAGUUUAUGCAUACAUGUGAUAAAAUAAAUUGAGAAUUAUGUUUGCUAAUAAUUUUUUUUAAAAAUUAAUGAUCAAUAUAUUGAAAUUUAUGAACCCUGAAAAUUGUGAUUUCUCAAUAACCAAUAUAUUGGAGAAUCAAUAUAUUGCCAAAGUUUUGACUUAAAAAACAAAAAAUUUCAGGCCUCUUUAUAAAGUAUACAAGUGCCAUACUUGUAAUACAAUUCUACAUAAAGGAGAGGAUUUAAGGUGAAAUUGAAUAAAUUAGAACAUAAUGAGUUUCCAAGUUCUUUGGGCUUAAAAAACCUUCUAACAAGGAAUGACAUAAAACAUUAGCAACAACAUAAGUCAUUAAAGUAAAAUUCAAUAAUGAAAAUGACAAGUUGGUUCGCAAUCACCAAUAUCUUUUAAACUUAGAAACAAGGUAGUCAACCAUGGCCUAAAGAAGUAAAUGUAUUGGUUAAACAUUUUAAUAGGCCAAAUAUCAAUUAUUUAGUGGCCAUAAACAUUAUCAAAAGUUUUUCUAGUUUGAUUUUCAUUCUUUUCAAAGAUAGGAAACAAUAAAGAAGCCAAUGACUUGACUAAUUAAGGUUAAGAUAUAAAAUGACCUUAAUCAUCAUGGUAUCAUCCUUGUAAAAAUUAUCGAUCAAUUAACCAUUGCUGAUAUCCAAUAGGGAUGUAAUGAUGCAUAAUGUAGUAUAUAUUUUAUGGUUGAAAACAUAUAAAACAAUAAGGAUAAGAUUAAAUUGAUUUUAUACAAGGGAUGCAAUGAAAGAUAGGAUUCCUAGGGAAACUAAGAUAUCAAUAUGGAAAUCAUAAGCAUGAAGUUGCUUCAUAUCUCUAUUAUUUAUACUUUGUGCUUGAUAAUUAAGCUAUUGUUGAGUAUAACUUAAUUUUUUUUGAUCUAUUUCAAUAUGAGUAUGACAGGGAAACAUGCUUUCAUUUGUUUAAAAUUGAAGAAAUACUAUGGGUAUUGUUUAAAUAAAUAAAAAUAAAAUUGAUCGUGAACAAUGGAAUUGACUAGGCUUAAAAAGUCUCAAUUAAUCAAGAAAACAAAAAAGCAGUUGACUGGAGGAUCAAGAGUCAAGUCAACAAAAAGAAACGAUCGAUCAUAAUAGCAAUAGUUCACAUAAUUGAAUAUAAUGUUUAAUUCUAUUCCGAAUGAGAGUUCUCAACAUAUUGAACUAAUUAAUGUUCUAAAUUAUUAAGGAUUUGUAUGGUUAUUAAUAAGGAAAUGUGAUAGAGUUUGUUUUUGUACGAGGACUUAUCAUAUAUAUGAAUGAGUUAGCUCAAAAUUAAAUUUAAGUAUUUACAUGAAAUUCUUUCAGUGUAACAAUAUAAAUAGACCAUAUUAGUUACUAGAAAAGAUAAUUGAUAAUGUAUUUUUAUAUUUAUGUUUUUCCCCAGAUGGUUUUUAAUGUAUUUUUACAGCUUUCCUUUAUAUUUUUGCACUUUAUUUUUUGUCAUUUCUAUUUCUUCUUCCGCGUAAACCUUUCUUUUUCCUCAUGUGAUGUUGUUAUAGAGCAAAUAACCUUUUAUUCAAGGUUUGAGGUUUUAGAUCCUUAUGCUUUGCUUGAUUUUGCAAGAUUUUUACUUAUAUUCUCUCGGGAUUAAGUUCAUAUUGUGUAGUUUCUUCUCAUUAGAAGAUAUAAAUUAUCAAUUAUUAACUUAUUGAUAAGAUAACUAUUUGAGUGAUCAACACACCUAAAGCUCAAACUAUUUAGACUUUUACCAAUUCUUACCUCUUCAACAUACUCAUUCCUAACAUUGUUAGCUAUUUAUACCAUACCUCUUACUACUUGUUCUUGUUUUACUUAGUUAAUGUGCCAUUACUUGUAUAAGUCAUAACACCAGCUCUUGUACUUUUGGACAACUAAUCAAUCAUUUACUUGUUCUUAAUAACCCUAACAUAUAAUGCUUAGGACUUAUGAUUAUUUUUACAUAUUUUUGGAAUGUUAUUUAAGUUAAUUCAUAAUUAAUCUGUCACGUGCAAUGCAUAUAAUCCUGAAUCUUGACAUAAAAAUGUUCUAAAUAUAUCAAUAUAGUUCAUUUAUAGAUGAUUGGUUGUGCUAUGUUAUAUCAAGGUAACCUUGUCGAAAGAGAACUUAAUAAAACUAUAAUGCUCAAUUACUAAACAACCCAAUGCUAAAUAACAAAACUGAAAGAAAAUUAAUUUUAAAAAAAGCAAAAAAAGACCCGAUUCAUACCAAGUUAACUCGGUUACCUCGCGAACUUGAACAUAAAAUUAAGAUAAUCCCAUAAAAAAGAGUAAAAAAAUCAUAAAGAUCAACUCUCAAUUAGUCAAAUGCUAGAAGAUAAGAUUGAGAAAAAAAUAAAUUAUAAAAAAAAUCAAAUAUUGAAGGAUCUUAUUUGAUAACGAAGUAAAAAUUAAAUGAGAAUGUGAUAACCCCAUAGAAAAUAAAAUAAAAAAUAAAUCUUAAUUUUUAGCAAAUAAAUUAUUGAAGGAUAAAAUUAAAGAAAAAAAAUUAAUUAAAACAUGUUAAUAAAACCUGAUCCAAUCCCACUCGAGUUAGCAUGCAAAAUCUAUAACCUAGUCUAUUGUUUAAGUGUUAAGGCAAUUAUAACACCUAAGAGGGGAUGAAUUAGGUAUAUCACUAAUAUUAACAAAAUAAUGCAAAUUAAUUCAAAUAGACACAAUAAUCACCAAUAUAAUUAAAAUGCUUAAAGUAAAGAAAUAAAGAAUAGAAUUUGCAAACUCGUUUUUAACAUGGUUCGGCAAGUUUACAUCCAUACUUUAAAUAUCAAACUGUACUUGAGUAUUGUAUUCUUUCACUAGUCCAAGUUCAGGAGUAUAAUAGUCAUUUGAUGAAUCCACACCAAGAUUUUCCUCACAUGAAAAGAUACCAUCUUCAAGAUGUUUUCCUAGUGAAAUCACCUCACCAAUACCAAGAGUUUUUACCUCACUCUCAAAUGUUUACAAGGGUAAUUUUAUUAUCAUAAUUAACUCUCUCAAUAAAAUAGAUAAUACAAUUGAAAGAUCUAAUAUCUUUAAAUCUCACAAGAUAACACUUAUAUAAUUUGAAAGUGUUUAAAUAUAAUGAGAAUGAGAUUGAAUACUUUUGUGCAAGAUUAUAAAGAUUUAAUAACACCAAUUAUAGUAUAAUUAUGGAUUGAUGUUCUAUAGUGUUUUUGCACUUAAAUUAGCUUGUAUAUGAUAUAUGUUUGGAAUCCCUCACUAAUUUUACAAUUGGACAAGCAAUAUGCAUGUUUAUAAGAAAAACUAGUAAUUAGUAGUCGUUAUAAUCCUACUGACGACUAAAAUGGUUGACUAAUUCAAAUUAGUCAAGCCAAUUAAUUGAUCAGUUUCUGCAGAAUUUCCAGGUGUUCAUUAUUGAUGAAUAAAUGGUUCACUAAUUCAUUUGGUCAUAUCAAAAGGUUGAUUAGUUUAUAUAAAAUUUCAAUUUUAACAAUUUAACCUUGAUGAAUUCUUAAAACCGUCUAUCUUAGAUUAUAUCAAAUUAUAUACCAAUCCUUUAAUGCAUGCAUAGUGAAGAGUGUGAAUUCAUUUUAAUUAUGCUAUCAAGUAGGAUAUAAAAAUUGACAUUGAGCACUUUAAAUGAAAUAUUUAAUCUAAGUCUUCACUUUGUUUUCUUCUUGGACUUUUUGAUCACGAAAUUCAUUAUGCUUGUUGACAUGUUCUUUGAAUAAACUUGUUUAAAACUUAUUCUCAAUAAGGCAUAUUACUAAUCCAUUUCUAUUUUAUUGUUAUCAUAAAAAUAUAUAUAAAUAUGAAUAUUUGACAUAAAGGUCAACAUGGUCGUGAUAACGAGGUAACCUUGUCAAAAGCAAAUUAGGUAAAAUUAUAAAACUUAAUUAUUAAGCAAUCCAAUGUUAAAAGGGUAAGACUAAAAAUAAUUUUUUUUUAUAUAAAAAAAAUUAUAGUCAAUUUAGGUUAAUUUGUCAAUCUUGCAACCAUGAGCUUAAGUUUACAAGAGUAAUUUUGUUAUCAUAAUUAACUCUCUCGAUAGAGUAGAUAAUACAAUUGAAAGGUCUAAUAUCUCACAGGAUAACAUUUAUAAGAUUUGAAAGUGUUUAAGUAUAGUGAGAAUGAGAUUGAAUACUUUUGUGCUAGAUUAAAAACAUUUAAUAACACCAAUUAGAGUAUAAUUAAGGAUUGAUGUUUUAUAAUAUUUUUGCCCUUAUAUUAGCUUGUAUAUAAAAUAUGUCUAGAAUCCCUCAUUAAUUUUGAAAUUAGAUAAGCAAUAUAUAUGUUUAUAAGAAUAACUAGUUGUUUAUAACCAUUAUAAUCCCACUUACAACUAAAAAGGAUGAAUGGUUUAAAUUAGUCAAGCUAAUUAAUUGACCGGUUCCUGAAGAAUUCUCAGAUGUUCAUCACUGAUGAAUAAAUGACCAACUGAUUCAUUUGGUCAUACCAAAUAGUUGACUUGUUCAUACAGAAUUUCAAUUUUAAUAGAUUAACCUUUGUGAAUUCUUAUAACUAUUUAUCUUAGAUUUUAUCAUAUUAUAUAUCAAUCCUUUAAUGCAUGCAUAGUGAAGAAUGUGAAUUCAUUUUAAUAAUGCUAUUAUGGAGGAUAUAGAAAUUGACAUUGAGCACUUUAAAAGAAUACUUAAUCUAAAUCUUCAUUUUGUUUUCUUUUUGGAUUUCUUGAUCAUGAAAUUCAUUAUAUUUGUUGAUAUGUUCUUCAAAUAAACCUUUUAAAACUUAUUCUCAACAAGGCAUAUUACUAGUUCGUUUUUCAUUUUAUUAUCAUCAUCAAAAAAUAUAUAUAUAAAUGAAUAUUUGACCUAAAGGUAAACAUAGUUAUGAUACCGGGGUAACCUUGUUAAAAGCAAAUUUGAGUAACAUUAUGAAGCUCAGUUAUCAAACAAUCUAAUGUUAAAAGGCGAGACUGAAAAAAAAAUUAAUUUCUUAAAGAAAAAAAAGAUCAUGGUCAAUCCAGGUUAAACUGCUAAUGUGGCGACCAUGUGUUUAGGAUUGGGAUGACUCCAUGGAAAAGAAAGUAAAAA